Molecule: small nuclear RNA, 162 nt
Organism: Microtus ochrogaster (prairie vole)
Lineage: Eukaryota; Metazoa; Chordata; Mammalia; Rodentia; Cricetidae
Gene: U1
Rfam family: U1 spliceosomal RNA
About the family: U1 is a small nuclear RNA (snRNA) component of the spliceosome (involved in pre-mRNA splicing).
Source: Ensembl
AUACUUACCUGUCAGGGAAGAACCCACGACCACACAGGUUGUUUCUUUGGGGCACAGCUCGUUAUUGUAUACCUGAUGUGCUGACCCCUGAGAUUCCCUAACAUCGGGAAAGUUGACUGCAUAAUUUGUUCUAGUGGGGCAGGCACUAUGUUGACAGUCUCC